CAGGUCCUCCCCGUCCUCCAGCUCCUCAAAGUCGGUAGGCUUCCCGUCGCCCAGCGGAGGAGGCUCCCUCUCGGCCGCCAUCUUCGCUCGCCAGGACGACUGAGCGAGGGUCCUCGCGGACCCGUCACGAGGUGAAGUCCUCGGCCCGUCUCGGCCGAGCCAGAGUUCUGAGCAGGAUCCCCUCCGCAGUGGCCGAGGCCCUCUUGAACGCCAGGGUGUUGUCGGUCCAGCACAGCCCUUGAAUCCACUUGCAACUUGGCCAGGUGCCUCUGACUCAAGAUUCUUCACUUGGCUACAAUCAGGAUAACCACCAGUACUGCAGUCAUCUCAGGCCUCAUCGGGGAGAGACCCUGCUUCCUAGCUCACCUGUGGAUGGCAACAGGCCUCAAGCAUGCUGGCUGUGGACCGAAGACCUGACUUCCUCUCUCAUACAGCAAGUCACCUUUCAUCUUGCUUACCUCAGAAAAAAGACUAUGAGAAAGACAAAAUGAAAACUCUAAGAAAGACAGAA
Heterocephalus glaber (naked mole-rat) is the source of this 511-nucleotide long non-coding RNA. RefSeq lists it as uncharacterized. The record is from RefSeq and is a predicted model, not a curated record. NCBI's taxonomy places the organism in Eukaryota, Metazoa, Chordata, Mammalia, Rodentia, Bathyergidae.